UAGUCCACGCCGUAAACGGUGGGUACUAGGUGUGGGGGACAUUCCACGUUCUCCGUGCCGCAGCUAACGCAUUAAGUACCCCGCCUGGGGAGUACGGCCGCAAGGCUAAAACUCAAAGGAAUUGACGGGGCCCCGCACAAGCGGCGGAGCAUGCGGAUUAAUUCGAUGCAACGCGAAGAACCUUACCUGGGUUUGACAUAUGCCGGAAACAUCCAGAGAUGGAUGCCCCUUUUUGGUCGGUUUACAGGUGGUGCAUGGCUGUCGUCAGCUCGUGUCGUGAGAUGUUGGGUUAAGUCCCGCAACGAGCGCAACCCUCGUCCUAUGUUGCCAGCGGGUAAUGCCGGGGACUCAUAGGAGACCGCCGGGGUCAACUCGGAGGAAGGUGGGGAUGGACGUCAAGUCAUCAUGCCCCUUAUGUCCAGGGGCUUCACGCAUGCUACAAUGGGCCGGUACAAA
Molecule: ribosomal RNA, 456 nt
Filed under: uncultured bacterium
Lineage: Bacteria
Description: bacterial SSU rRNA
Rfam family: Bacterial small subunit ribosomal RNA
Source: RNAcentral